AGAUGUGGCUGGUGGGGUGAACCUAGUCCAAUGUAGUCAAGAGAGGUCAAGUUCUAGUGGAUUUAGAUCUGGACCUGGUCCAAUGUGCUCUACAAAUGAAGAAUACAGUCACAUCCGCUCCUUUCUUCAUUUUCUCCAACAGAAUAAAGGUCAGACUCUUUCAACAUUGGUUCCUGACUGAACUUUGUCUCGCCUCAAAUGUGGAACAUGUUUUAUCAAUCUGUGGAACAGAAAAUGGACAAACAGCAGUGACUGAAGAUGUCCGAUGUGGAUGAAGAGGAGGGCAGGUCAGGUGUGGACAGGUGUGUGAACCUUCCUCUCCAGGUUGGACAUGUACGUCUCACAUGUUGAAUGAAUGUGUGUAAACUGUCAGAACCUCCUGAUCUGUCAAGGAGCCAACAGAACAUUUGGACCUGCUGUCAAACUCCUGAUUGGGCAGUUUGGGUGUGACCUUUGACCUCUGUCAUGUUCAUCUCUUCAUAAACAACUGGGUUUACAGUGAACUGACUGAACCAUUCAAGCUGUUUCUAAAU
Long non-coding RNA from Salarias fasciatus (jewelled blenny), 533 nucleotides. RefSeq lists it as uncharacterized. Lineage: Eukaryota; Metazoa; Chordata; Actinopteri; Blenniiformes; Blenniidae. The record is from RefSeq and is a predicted model, not a curated record. The transcript is spliced from 3 exons.